CCUACGGGUGGCAGCAGUGGGGAAUAUUGGGCAAUGGACGCAAGUCUGACCCAGCAACGCCGCGUGAAGGAAGAAGGCUUUCGGGUCGUAAACUUCUGUUCAGGGGGAAGAGCAUAAGACGGUACCCCUUGAAUAAGCCACGGCUAACUAUGUGCCAGCCGCCGCGGUUAUACGUAGGUGGCAAGCGUUGUCCGGAUUUACUGGGGGUAAAGGGCGUGCAGCGGGGCCGACAAGUCAGAUGUGAAAUCCGCGGGCUUAACCCGCAAACUGCAUUUGAAACUAGUGGUCUUGAGUACCGGAGAGGUCAUCGGAAUUCCUUGUGUAGCGGUGAAAUGCGUAGAUAUAAGGAGGAACACCAGUGGCGAAGGCGGAUGACUGGACGGCAACUGACAGUGAGGCGCGAAAGCGUGGGGAGCAAACAGGAUUAGAUACCCUUGUAGUC
This 442-nucleotide ribosomal RNA is filed under the name uncultured bacterium. RNAcentral describes it as "partial 16S ribosomal RNA". It matches the Rfam family "Bacterial small subunit ribosomal RNA", at positions 338 to 795 of the family's 1533-position model. The record is from RNAcentral.